GCUCGGUCAGUUUCCCACGCGACUACACUAGGUCAAUUUUCUCUCUCAAACCCUAAACACCACGACCACACUUCGUUCGCCUCCUCUUCCUCAUCCUCCUCCUCCUCCGACCGGCACUCGACUGCUCUCUGCCUCAGCCUCCGCCUCCGUUAUCCUCCUCCUCCUCUUCCUUUGGCACACCUGUUCUCUCAUCUCUCUUCUCCAAUUCACCAGAUCUAAUAAAGACGCAGUCCAUGCCGGAGCUCCGCCUUGCCCCUCCUCCUUCUCUUUUCUCCUUCCACCCCGACGAGAACUAGAAAUGGAGGCAGCCAGUGACUUCGGCGCUGGAGUUCGGCGGCGUCAAGAUUGCUAAAGAUGAUGUGUUGAGGGAUGACCCCACAAACAAUGUUCCGGAUACAAUUUUUGCAAAGCUUGGAAUGCAACUGAACAGAAGAGAUCGAUCAGCACCCACUUGGAAUUCUGAAGAAUGCCAUAUACAAAUACUUUGACACCAAUUACUCAAACAAGUUUGAUAAGUUCGAUGAUCUUUGCCCAUUUGUAUCUGUUAAGGAGGUGCAGGGAAAAGAUCGAGUAGUUGUAAGAUGUGUUGCAGAGCAGCUUGGCUUGGAAGGUUCAUACAUACCUCGUACCUACAUUGAAUAAAUUCAACUGGAAAAGCUCGUGAAUGAGGUCAUGGCCUUGCCAGAUGAUUUAAAGACAAGGCUUAGCAUAGAUGAGGAUCUUGUUUUGAGCCCCAGAGACACACUUUCUAAAGUCUCUGCAGCUCUCAUGAGAAAUAAGCAUCUCAAGAGUGGUAUGUCGCAGUCCUAUACAAACCAAAGGGACAAGGAUUUGGAUCGGGCAAGUGAAGGAAAUGAGCUAAAGCAAGAAACUACUUUGCAUGAACUGGAGCCGGUUGCCGUCCAUGCUCUUCAUGAACUUGUUUCUUUAGUUCACAGUCCUGUCAAUGCUGCAGAGCAAUAUGAUUUUGAGUAAGGCAAGAUUUUGCUGACCAUUUUGGAGUAGAUGUAGUGUUAUCAGGAUGAAUUGUGAACUAAUUAUACUUCAUGUAGUUAUUGCAGUAGUGGUAUCUUCUAGACUAGCCUUACAGUAGGUUAGGGUUUAUUGUGCAAAACUUUUGAAGCUACCUCAAGCUCUAAUUUUGGAUAGAAAUUAAUGCAAUUCCC
This 1166-nucleotide long non-coding RNA is filed under the name Rosa chinensis. Its description in RNAcentral is "sRNA RchiOBHm_Chr4g0427201". Lineage: Eukaryota; Viridiplantae; Streptophyta; Magnoliopsida; Rosales; Rosaceae. The record is from RNAcentral.